RNAcentral lists this transfer RNA (71 nucleotides) under Marmota monax (woodchuck). Its description in RNAcentral is "tRNA.Ala". It matches the Rfam family "tRNA". From Rfam's summary of the family: Transfer RNA (tRNA) molecules are approximately 80 nucleotides in length. Their secondary structure includes four short double-helical elements and three loops (D, anti-codon, and T loops). The record is from RNAcentral. Lineage: Eukaryota; Metazoa; Chordata; Mammalia; Rodentia; Sciuridae.
GAAGGUAUAACUCAGUGAUAGAGUGCUUGCCUAGCAUGCAAGAUGCCCUGGGUUCAAUUCACAACAUCACA